AAAUUCAUAAAACAAUUUUAAGUGUCAUUAAAGUAAAACCAUAAUGUAUUACAACAAUAAUAAUAAUAAUACCAAAGCUGUGAUUAUAUACAAAAUAUGCCUCAAAUAUAUCGACAGCUGUGGUGUCAAAGUGCUCCCUCUGGUGUUUGUGGCAUUCAGACUCAUCAGAGUGGUGAUGACUAAUAUUAGCAAUAUUAUCAAAAACCUUAAACAUUCAAAAGGUUUGUGAAGAAUUGUACAGGAAAGAGAGACUCACCUUUUUGAUGGUUUUGGUCUGAACCAUGGCAAGCUCUUUGUUUUCAGUUGCCACAUACAAGGACAGUUUAACAUAGGGGUCACUAUGAAGAAAGGAAGACAGACAGACAGAAGUGUUAAUAUGUUACAACAAAAAGCUCCAUUCUGGGUUUUUCCAUAUUAAUUUGUUAUACCUUCUGCUUACAUGUAAAGCAGUACCCCCUGCAGAGCGUCUUUACAAUUUAAACAGGGACAAUGAGAGGGUGGAGUGAGCAGUUUGUCAGACACGCUCACAAAUCUUUGCGAUUGCGAUAACCUGUAACGAGACACAGCAUCCAGCAUCCCAGAUUACACUGAAGCCCUAAUUUACUACAGAUUUGCGAGCCGAUGACGAAGAUGACGAUGAUUACUACCUGCAAACCAGCCUCCCACCUGAUAUGCUAAUAGUGUGCAACGUGGGCUUUGCUCAGUGAUUUUCCUUGGAAGCAAAUUUAGGAGCGGAUUUGCAUCUAGGACCAAAUUAAUAUGAAACUAGAACAGCCCUCAGAGAGCACAAACCUCCACCAAGGCCAAAUGCCCAUUGAGCCCAAUCCACUCCCACAUUUAACAGGUUCUUCCAUGGCCCAUGCUCCACCCCUCCUCAAGGUUUCAUGAAAAUCGACCUGGUAGUUUUUAAGUAAUCCUGCUGACAAAAACAUAACCUCCUUGGAGGAGCUAUAUAUGGGCGUUUGUUUUAAGGCACAUUAAUCACAUGAUAUCCGAGUUUUACAAAUCCGUUUUAAACCACAUUCAUACGUGGUUUGAAAUACUAUGAUGUUAAGUUCUCAUGUACAUCACGCAUACAGGAAACAUGCUAGAUUGGUGGCAGAGGGAGCAAUUGAUAAGCGGUGCAGGCAAACCGGCAUUGCCAUGUGGUAAAUUGACAAGCUACUUUUAUUUCCCUCUAUGUUGAGUUGUUUCAUGUCAAAUUCAAUAUUACUUCCGGGCGCAAUGUCAUUACUAAAGCAACCUGAGACCGGAUAUGAGGAUUAAUGAGUAAGUAAACGCAGACCUAACUUCACCGGUGCAGAGGUGGAGGUACUGUUGCAGAAUGUAGAUGUGUCCGUUCUAUUCCACUAUGGCUAUUUCCACGCGAUUAAGUUUAGGGCUUAUUUAUUUAUUCACUUACAUUUGCAGUGUUCGUGUAGUGCUUUUAUUUAUUUUAGGACAUCACGAUGCCUUGUAGAAUCAUGACUAUAAAUAUGAAAUGUAAUUGUUAAUGAUACAAAUAUUCUCGUAUUUAUGGAGAGACAUGAAAUUGGCUAUCCACCGAUGAUCCCUAUUCCACCAGACAGAGCCUGAGAGGAUCUGCAGAGAAGAAUGGCAGAGAAUCCCCACAUCCUUGUGUGGAAAGCUUGUUGUGUCACCAAAGAAGACUCAAGGUUGUAAAUGCUGCCAAAGGUGCCUCGACUAAGUACUGAGUAAGUUAUGUCAAUGUGAGGUCGUACUUAUAUCGACGUGAUUUCAGGAAUGUGUUUUAUCGUUUUACCAAGUAACUGUAUAAUAAGCUGGAUAAUGUAUACUCCGCUGGUCAGUAUUGGAAAAUAAAUCCCUUCAAUCCCACAUUCAUGUGUAUGCAUGCACCAGUGGGAGUGUCACCUUACCUCACAACCUAGACCCUUUCUCUUAAUAAAUAAUAAGAGAGGGUGAACAUCAUUUUUUGUUUGUUGUAUUAUUAUCUAUGACUGUAUGAUACCAAUGAUUCACUCUUUUGGAUAUGGUAUUAAUAAUUGAAUAUGUUGGUUAACCUAGCUAGCAAACAAUAUCUUAUUAAGAUACACGUUUAGCAGCCCAAGCCAUAUCCUGAAACCUGUCCUCGAUCACUCUGUUGUCUGUACCACCUGCCUAAACUCUUCACAGGUUUUUCAAAAAUGUAAGGACUUCCCUCACCAUCAAUAUAAAACGACUCUUCCUACAUUUGCUAGGUUUCACUUUCACCUUGCCCAUUUAAGCGAUUCAAUUUGGUUAACAGCCAACAGGUACAGGGAGCAGUUGAGGUCACUGUGGUCAGGUCAUCAGUAUAAGCUCAGAUGGGAGGUAACCUACAGCCUUCCACCACAAACAACCCAUUUAGAUGUCCUUAGAAUUACCAAUAAUUGCCAUGAUGAAGGCCAACGAUAAAAUGGUACAUCCAGCAAUGAUGCCAAUCUCCAAAUGCUGCCCGAAUAAAUGAAUGGAUUUGUUAAGGUAUCCACCCUUAACCUGAGGCCCUGCUCCUGAUAAAGAGGAAGCAACCCUGGUGACUGCAGUCACUCCAGAUCUCUACUAUUUUAUGUUUUCUCUCUCUCUCACACACACACACACACACACACACACACACACACACACACACACACACACACACACACACACACACACAGGUUACAGUCAUAUACAGUUAAAAUGGUAUUUAGGGGGAGAUUAUUUUUUCCAUUCCCAGGAAUUACCAAUUGAAAGCGUAAUUAUAAUCUGUUGAAAUGGAGCAUAAUCAGUUUCAUCCUUAUGUCUACCAAACUGUUAGCUCUUGCUCUAGAGCAAAAGAUAGCCCAUUAAAUGCCACUUCCUGUCAGAGAAAGUGCCUCAUUUAGCUUCAGGUGCCACAUAGACAGCCAUGCCAGGCGCCUGCCAGUAUGUUGCCACAGCAACUGGCCAUUUGUCGAGAAGCUGAACAGAGACAAUGAUGAGAGGAGUGAAGGGACAAAGUGGACAAUGAGGUACUUAUGAGACGGCGGGUGGGAGAACAUAAUCUCUGAUCCUAUCUGGCCCUCUAAGAGUAAUCACUAGUAAGAGCUGCAUACUUCCUGCAGUAUACACCUAAUCAUUGCAUCUUUUGAGAAAACCAUUGACAUAGUUAGUAGUGAUCAGUGAGGUUUUUUUUUAUAUAUAUAUAUAUAUUUUACAUAAAUAGUACUCACUUCCUUUUUGUCAUUGUAAAUGUACACACAUACACACACAUUUUCAAGCACCACCUUCAAACAUUUUUCCCCAGGAUAGGAGGAAUCAAUGGUGACCCUAGUAGUUUAACAGUUAACCUGGAACAACCAGCACUAUUUAGAGUCGACACUUUAGCCAGUUCUACUGUUUCACCUUCUUUUUGUGUCGCAUACAUACAAUGACUGGUCGCUGUGUCGCACACUUUCGCACAUUUAUCUGUAAAAGAGUAGAUUUAGCUGAUAAAGGCAAAAAAGCAGAGAAUUUAUAUUUGGAGCUGAAUUCUACAGGGUAUAGGUAAACAUUAUUAACUUACAUAUCGUUUACAUGAUUAUUGUUUAUAUCAUUUAAUGUAUAGGAGUCAUGACUACUAUUGCCACUGCAUAUUAACCACAUCAUGUGAACAAAGGGGCUCAUUGUGUACAUUUUCACCCAAUGUGCAACUACCACAAGAGCAGCCAUGUGCUGGGGUGUGUGUGUGUGUGUGUGUGUGUAUAUAUAUAUAUAUAUAUAUAUAUAUAUGUAUGUGUGUGUGUGUGUGUGUGUGUGUGUGUGUGUGUGUGUGUGUGUGUGUGUGUGUGUGUGUGUGUGUGUGUGUGUAUAUAUGUAUGUGUGUGUGUGUGUGUGAGUGUGUGUAAGUGAGUUGAGUUCUGGGCAUUGCUGUGCCUUACUGCCUUAGCUCGUGGGCGUUGGAUCGUCUAUUUUUGGGUAGCGUAGUGCAUUAUCGUGCAUGCAAUUUGUCAACACAAACUUUUUGGAGAAGAACAUUAAUGAAGAACUAAAAUGCUGGUUGGCAAGAUAAAGGUGAGUUGCAGGUGUGGUUCUUGGAGAGGUUUCCAGAGAUUUUGAGAGGAAAGCACAUCCCAAGAAGCAGGAAGCAGGAUCAUUACAGAAAAGCAAGAAAAUCCACUGGCUUUCUCAAACAUCAAUACAAAACAAGUAAUUGCAUAAAUGUAAUGAAAUGUGUGACUGUGUAAUCUUAUCAUCCUGUCUGGUAAUUGUCCCCAAGUCCAAGCACAACUUUCAAAGCCAGAAAGAACAUCCAAUACUCCUUUCAGAAAUCAAUUUCAACCUUGUUCCUCUGUUGGUCUCCAAACAGUGUAGGUGGCAAUAAUGAUUGCAAUGAUUAUGAAAACAAAGCGAAUAGCCUAUUCAUUUGUUUUAAUCAAGUAGCCUGUGUAUGUAUGUAUGUAUGUAUGUAUGUAUGUAUGUAUGUAUGUAUGUAUGUAUAUAUAUUAGUGCUGUCAAAUGAAUAAAAUAUUUAAUCGCGAUUAAUCGCAUUUAUGUCAUAGUUAACUCAAAAUGAAUCGCGAUUAAUCGCAAAUUUGUAUCUAUUCUAAAUGUCCCUUCAUUUAUUUAUUUUUUCCAUCAUUUUAUUUUUAUUUUAAUGCCCUUAUCAACAUGGAAAAGUGGAUUGGCUUGCUUAAUGCAAAUGUUUUAUUUUAUUGAAAACCACCAUUGCCAAACAGGGCGGUACAAAAUAAAAUUAUAAAGUGCACAUUUCAGGUAAACAAGGACUCAGCCUAUAGUGCAGUUAAACCAUGGCUUAAUAUUUUCUUUUUUUUCAAGUUUGCUGGGAACAUAGCAGUCAGGCCUCUUAUUUCAGAAACAAUGAACCGUAACAGUCAGUUUACCAAUAAAAGGUAAGCCUACUACUUCUUUGCUUUCAGCCAGCUGCCUGUUGACAUUUUCAUAUAUUCUUGCUACGCAUCAGUUAAAAAAAAGCCUACAGUUAAGUUAUCUAUUUAAAACAGCCCUACGCUGUAAUUCCAGCACAGUGCCAGGGAACUUUAAUCCAUGUUUUAUUGGUGGUUAUUACUAUGAUAACUUCCUCUUCUUCAGCCCAGGGUUGCUGCCAGACACCUUAUCUCCCAGGCUGUGCAGUAAUACAUUUGUCUGAAUGAAUGUAUGUGUAACAGGAAAGCUAUAAAAUAUACUGAACAUAAACAAUCCACAGGGAAAUAUAAAUCAAUAACGGAAAAGUACAGUAUUUUUCACCAUGUGUAUGUGAUUUUGGUUUGGAGGCUUUGGUUCAUUGGUGUUCAUUUGGUUCAAGUGAAUGCAUUUAUGAUUUAAAAGGAGGGCCUUUGUGUGAGUUGUAUGCAUCCUGUUGAAGACCAUGAGAUCAAAGAAGCUCAUUCUCAAACAAUCUUCUCAGGAGUACAAGGGAAUGUCCCAUGCUGAUGUAUGAAAGUAAUGUACUUCACACAGCUGAAGGUGACAGCAUGGCUACAUAGUAAAAACAGUGGCUGUGUUGGCGAGUGCAACAACAGAGAGGGACACGAAGGCACACCAUGGAGCAAAUACACAGUUACUUAUCUCUGCGCUAAACUGGAUUUAUUUACAGCCUCAGCCCUUGUGCAAAGGGCCUGACUGGGGUCACACAGACCUCAUGCAACAGCUCUGGCCUUACAACGAGCCUUCCCUCCCGUGCUCUCCUGCUGCUAACCCAGUAAGUCAAUGGUAAAUCUUGAUCCCUCUUUAGUUUUUACAGAAAUUAUUUUCAGAGAUUACUGAAGGGGUAAAAUUUGCCAUUGUUGUCCGAAUCACAAAUGAUAGUGGACCCGAUUGGGACAAGGUCCCUGUACAGAAAAAAACAGAGUAUCUGUGUUUGGGGUUAAAGUCUAACAGGUGAGCGUGGCUUCACAUGUGGUGUUAUAUAAAAGCUCUUGACGCUGUUCCAAAGAAUUGCUGAGCGUUUUACUCGGCUUAAACCCAACCUGCUUUACCCCCCUUCGUGUAGUCGUGGCACAGCUCCACCCCUUUCAUACUCACCUUGCUCCAAUGAUGUCCUUCUUGGCCAGAUCAAUGCCAGCGAUGACCUUGACACGGAGAACACGAGAUUCAUUCUGCAGUAGAAAAAGAGAAUGUUAAGAAACCAGAAACCUGAGCAUGUCAACAACAACCAAUGAACAAAGCCUGACAUGUCUAGCAAUGUUACUGACUAACUCUGUGGGUCUAAUUCUACUCAUAACUGGGGUAACCGAAAGACCAUCACUCACAAGACGAUGAUUUAAAAAAAAAAAAAAAAACUAUGCAUACCUUAAUUCAAAGAGAGCUUUGUAUUAUGAGCCCAGGGUUUUAAAGGAAAUAGUAUUCUGUGCACAAACCGCACCACAAGGCUUUAACUGACCAAGUCUGACAGUAACCGGACUCCAACAACAUGCAAGUUUAACCGAAACCAGGCACAAAUUAAUGACUUUAAUCAAAUAAAAAGACUUUGAAACAAAACAUUACUGUGUUUCACACUUUCCUACUGUGUAAUGCAGUCUAUAGGCCACACACACACACACACACACACACAACUGUGUUACAUUUGAACUCCUCUCCCAUAAUACUGCAAAGUACUACAUACUGCAGUUGCUAUCAAACAAGAUAUAAGCUCAUUACAGCCUUUGCUAGGAACAGUGUCAGUGUAAGAUGUGUUACCAAGAUGGACAACAACAUAGAGAAAAGUUAUACUCUUAAUUUAAAUGAUAAAUAUAAUUUUUUUUCCCAAUGUCACUGAAGAGACAGAAUUAACUUGAACACAAUUUAAAAUUCCAAUAGUUUCAAGGUGCAGGCUUUUGACAUUGCCUAUUGAAUUCAGACAUUUAUUAGGUCAAGGACCCUUUCAAGCAUUACCUGCAGGUACAGAUGGGAGCCCUAGGGGGGUCAGGGGCCUAUCUGCUUGGUUCCCAAGGAACAUGGAAGAAACCAGGCUAUGCAAGCUUCCCCACAUGAAGAUAACAGUCACUCAGUACAACUACAGCUGAAAAACGAUAGCCAACCCUCACCUCAUAGUGCAUCAUAAACAUAUCCUUAUCUACACCCCAACCCUCAGGCCUCUUCUUGUUUAGCUUAACCCAUAUAGGUACAAAGACUAGACCUAUAUUUAGUAUCAUAAGGAAAAAGGGCCUCUGACUUUACUGUGAUCGGUUUGAAAUGAUGACAAUUUGCAGUCAUACUUUGUGUAGGCCUAAGCCUUCAACAUCAGCUAGAUUAAUUUUUUACAUGCAUGUAGUUUUUAUUCUUUUAUUGAUAAUGGAAGUUGGAUUUUGGAAAAAUGCUACUUUUUUUAUUCAUUGUAUAUUUCUGGGGGAGUUCAUUGAUACCCAUUAGGCUAUUUGAUUGUGUGCCAUGUCGUUUUUGACAUGUGGCUGGUUUCUUAUCAUACUAUAUUUAGUCUGGUUACUGGACAGAAUAUUUCAACAUCUGAUUUCUUUGGGAAAGGUUGUGUGAAAACUUGCAACAGUAAAAGUUCAAUAGCUCAUAUUAUAGGUUGACACCACAACAGGAAGGUCAGACACAACAAAACACACAAUACAAUUAAGUGUAAAUAAGUUGAUUGCUUUGAUCUGUCUCCUCCCCUUUUGAGAGAAAGGGAGGAGCAAGAACACUUCUAUGGAUUUAUAGUAAAACGCAAAUGCAAGAUAAUCUCAGUCAUGGACUUGUAUGGGUUAAACAGUCUCUUUUGCCUUUUCCCAAAAGCAUCUCCACAUAUCUACUUCUGUGAAAUGUGGGUAAGUUAAAUGUGCAACAAAUAUAAUCAAAUAUUACAACUGUAAACUACUAUAUUUGCAGGUAUCAUAACUUGAAUAUCUACUUGGGUAUGAUUAAGUGUCAGAUUGUCAGUAACGGUGCAAACCCAUGACAGCGACGCGAUACGCUUCCAUCGCUUUGAGUGGGCGUGUUGUAGCGUGUGGAAAUAUCAUUUUCAAACCGUCAGAGACAACACCAAACAAUCUGAUUGGCCGCUGCCGGGAAAAAUCGCCCCUCAUUUGCAUAAGAUUCAACUUUUUCCAACUUUUAUCGGUCGCGUCGCCCAAAACGGUGGUCUACGUCACAAUGGAUUGGCUCCCGUUGAAAUGCAUGGGAUUUAGAAUAUCGCGUCGCUCGUAACGGUGUCAUGGGUUUGCACCGUAAGUGACAGACAGUUCUGCAACUCAACACAGACUAGAAAUGAUGUUUUGUUUUCCUGUUUGUAACUCAGUAAAUACACACUGUGAAGAAAAGCCCAAGCCUAAGACUGAACUCACACUGAUUCUAUGUUUGAUAUUUCAAAGAGUUGGAUCUCAUGGGUGUGUGUGUUCCAAGAACACCGUGUUUGUCUGGGAAUCAGCCAUGCAUAUCUUUUUUUUAUGAUAUGCAAACAGUAGGGCCUGCAUGAGCUGAGAGGCUUAACACAGUUAUGACAGCACUUUGUAGCGAGUUAGAAGGCCUAUGCUAUUCAAUUUUAGUUGUUAGGAUUUUUCCACUCCUUAAGGCCCCGUCACACCAUGACGUUCUGGUCAACGUUCUAUGAUGUUAGAGGAAACGUUGGUAAUCAUCCAUGGUCGCUGGUAUUGCGCCAGAAGAGCUUUGUGUGAAAGCUGGUGAACGCUGUAAUCGUCGGUAAUCGUCGGUGAUCGGAGGAGAACGCUGGUCCAAAAAAAAAAGUUUUGAACAUGCACAAAAGUUCUCAUGGAGAUCAGCGUUCUUCAAUGUUUAAUUUAAACGCUGGAGAACUUUCGUGGAACGUUUUAUUAACUUUGCACGCGUUUGGCUAUGGUAGUCAGUCCUUGGUAGGGUAGACUGAGUACAGUUGAUGCACCCGAAAUAACUUAUGUGCGCAGCAAAAAAUCCUGAGACGUGAAUUUUAGUUUGGACAUGCCUACUAACAUCCUCUAUGAUCCAGGGAAAUUUGUGCACCUAACCCAUCUCUCGUAGGAAGAUAUCGGCGAAAGUUUUUUCACCAAGGGAAGAUCUUGAUUUUAUCAUGUCCCUUCUACAAUUAAUAUGUUAUUAACCAUACGUGAUCAACAAACGCAACUUACAUCAUUGCAAACGUUAUUCUGUGCACUAUACAUCUACAUAUGCAAUGCUAUCAUGUCAUGCAAGGUCGUUGCAUAAUCUAGCGAAAAGCGGAGUGGAGGGUAUAUAUGCUUGCUUGAGCCCAGCAUGAAGUAGAUGUACUGAACUUGAACAUAGCUGAGCACUGUUAUAGCUGGUGCUGUUCCAUGGCAGAUGGAUAUGAUACGAAGACUCUUGUGACAUGGACAAUGUGUGUGGAUGUGUUGAUGUUUUCUAAUAAUAAACAUUGAGAAACACAAAUUCAGUGUCAAAUUUAAAUAAUUUAUUUUAAUAACAUAAAACCCCAGGAAUAACGCCCGUUAUUUCGUAAGUGACAGUAAUAAUAACAGUAAAUCUUCGUCCGAAGACAUUGCUAGUGAAAGAGGCUUUGUAUUCUUCUUACUUUCAGCAGCAUUUAUCAUCUUCUUACCUGCAGCAGCGCUAGUAGCAGACACGUCAGCACACGUUUGUCGCGCACCAGUGUCGCUGUUACAUGCUCCUCAUGCGUGAGUCCCACGCUAGUAGUCAUGCGUCAGUCCUACGCUAUUCUUUCGUUAAGUCACACGCCAGAUGUGUCCACAUCGCCCUAGAACGCUCGAAAUUGAACGAUUAGAAAGUUCAGAGAACGUUGACCAGAACGUCAUGGUGUGACAGGGCCUUUAGGAAUGAUUACACAAUACAGACCUCAGUGUAGUUAGUGCUCCCCUAUCUCCACCUAACACACAUAGCCUUGGCAUUUUACAUAAGGGUGGAUGACAGGCGACUGAUUUUAUCGUAAUCAAGCAAACAAAAUUAUAAAAUCAUUACUAAUUCAAAAUAGAAUGUUUUAGGUCACUGUUUUGAUGCGUUUAGUUUAGUAUUUAUUUUAAGGCAAACAUGCAAGUCCUGUCAUGUGACUGUAGUAUAAAUGAAGUAGUAGACGUGGACAAAAUUGUUGGUACCCUUCUGUUAAAGGAAGAAAAAGCCACAAUGGUCACUGAAAUAAUUUGAAACUGACAAAAGUAAUAAUAAAUAAAAAAAAUACUGAAAAUUAACUAAUGAAAAUCACAUUGCUUUUGAAUUGUGGUUCAACAGAAUAAUAAUUAAAAAAAACGAAUUAAACUGGCCUGGACAAAUUAUGGUACCCCUAGAAAAGAUUUAAAAUAAUUUGACCAUAGAGACAUGUUAAACUAAGGUGUGUCCUCUAAUUAGCAUUACAGGCUUCUUCAAACUUGUAAUCAGUCAGUCUGCCUAUUUAAAGGGUGAAAAGUAGUCACUGUGGUGUUUGGUAUCAUGGUGUGUACCACACUGAACAUGGACCACAGAAAGCAAAGGACAGAGUUGUCUCAGGAGAUUAGAAAGAAAAUUAUAGACAAGCAUGUUAACGGUAAAAUCUAUAAGACCAUAUCCAAGCAGCUUGAUAUUCCUGUGACAACAGUUGCACAUAUUAUUCAGAAGUUUAAGGUCCAGGGGACUGUAGCCAACCUCCCUGGACGUGGCUGCAAGAGGAAAAUUGAUGACAAAUUGA
Molecule: long non-coding RNA, 10501 nt
Organism: Clupea harengus (Atlantic herring)
Lineage: Eukaryota; Metazoa; Chordata; Actinopteri; Clupeiformes; Clupeidae
Source: Ensembl